GACAACGUGGUGGAGUGGUUAACACGCAGCCCUGCUAUUUGUGUAAGGCUGUCUCUUAGGAGGCGUAGGUUCGAAUCCUGCCGUUGUCG
This is a transfer RNA of Aspergillus terreus NIH2624, 89 nucleotides long. It matches the Rfam family "tRNA". From Rfam's summary of the family: Transfer RNA (tRNA) molecules are approximately 80 nucleotides in length. Their secondary structure includes four short double-helical elements and three loops (D, anti-codon, and T loops). Further hydrogen bonds mediate the characteristic L-shaped molecular structure. tRNAs have two regions of fundamental functional importance: the anti-codon, which is responsible for specific mRNA codon recognition, and the 3' end, to which the tRNAs corresponding amino acid is attached (by aminoacyl-tRNA synthetases). tRNAs cope with the degeneracy of the genetic code in two manners: having more than one tRNA (with a specific anti-codon) for a particular amino acid; and 'wobble' base-pairing, i.e. permitting non-standard base-pairing at the 3rd anti-codon position. NCBI's taxonomy places the organism in Eukaryota, Fungi, Ascomycota, Eurotiomycetes, Eurotiales, Aspergillaceae. The record is from Rfam.